Molecule: ribosomal RNA, 459 nt
Filed under: uncultured bacterium
Lineage: Bacteria
Description: partial 16S ribosomal RNA
Rfam family: Bacterial small subunit ribosomal RNA
Source: RNAcentral
CCUACGGGGGGCUGCAGUGAGGAAUAUUGGUCAAUGGACGCAAGUCUGAACCAGCCAUGCCGCGUGCAGGAAGACGGCUCUAUGAGUUGUAAACUGCUUUUGUACGAGGGUAAACGCAGAUACGCGUAUCUGUCUGAAAGUAUCGUACGAAUAAGGAUCGGCUAACUCCGUGCCAGCCGCCGCGGUAAUACGGAGGAUGCGAGCGUUAUCCGGAUUCAUUGGGUUUAAGGGGUGCGCAGGCGGGCCUUUAAGUCGGCGGUGAAAUCGCGGGGCUCAACCCCGCCGGGCCGUCGGAACUGGGGGCAGUGAGUGCGGCGGAGGCAGGCGGAAUGCGCGGUGUAGCGGUGAAAUGCAUAGAUAUCGCGCAGAACCCCGAUGGCGAAGGCAGCGUGCCGUGCCGCCACUGACGCUGAGGCACGAAAGCGCGGGGAUCGAACAGGAUUAGAUACCCUUGUAGUC